RNAcentral lists this ribosomal RNA (2850 nucleotides) under Escherichia coli. Its description in RNAcentral is "partial 23S ribosomal RNA". It matches the Rfam family "Bacterial large subunit ribosomal RNA". The record is from RNAcentral. Lineage: Bacteria; Pseudomonadati; Pseudomonadota; Gammaproteobacteria; Enterobacterales; Enterobacteriaceae.
GACGUGCUAAUCUGCGAUAAGCGUCGGUAAGGUGAUAUGAACCGUUAUAACCGGCGAUUUCCGAAUGGGGAAACCCAGUGUGUUUCGACACACUAUCAUUAACUGAAUCCAUAGGUUAAUGAGGCGAACCGGGGGAACUGAAACAUCUAAGUACCCCGAGGAAAAGAAAUCAACCGAGAUUCCCCCAGUAGCGGCGAGCGAACGGGGAGCAGCCCAGAGCCUGAAUCAGUGUGUGUGUUAGUGGAAGCGUCUGGAAAGGCGCGCGAUACAGGGUGACAGCCCCGUACACAAAAAUGCACAUACUGUGAGCUCGAUGAGUAGGGCGGGACACGUGGUAUCCUGUCUGAAUAUGGGGGGACCAUCCUCCAAGGCUAAAUACUCCUGACUGACCGAUAGUGAACCAGUACCGUGAGGGAAAGGCGAAAAGAACCCCGGCGAGGGGAGUGAAAAAGAACCUGAAACCGUGUACGUACAAGCAGUGGGAGCACGCUUAGGCGUGUGACUGCGUACCUUUUGUAUAAUGGGUCAGCGACUUAUAUUCUGUAGCAAGGUUAACCGAAUAGGGGAGCCGAAGGGAAACCGAGUCUUAACUGGGCGUUAAGUUGCAGGGUAUAGACCCGAAACCCGGUGAUCUAGCCAUGGGCAGGUUGAAGGUUGGGUAACACUAACUGGAGGACCGAACCGACUAAUGUUGAAAAAUUAGCGGAUGACUUGUGGCUGGGGGUGAAAGGCCAAUCAAACCGGGAGAUAGCUGGUUCUCCCCGAAAGCUAUUUAGGUAGCGCCUCGUGAAUUCAUCUCCGGGGGUAGAGCACUGUUUCGGCAAGGGGGUCAUCCCGACUUACCAACCCGAUGCAAACUGCGAAUACCGGAGAAUGUUAUCACGGGAGACACACGGCGGGUGCUAACGUCCGUCGUGAAGAGGGAAACAACCCAGACCGCCAGCUAAGGUCCCAAAGUCAUGGUUAAGUGGGAAACGAUGUGGGAAGGCCCAGACAGCCAGGAUGUUGGCUUAGAAGCAGCCAUCAUUUAAAGAAAGCGUAAUAGCUCACUGGUCGAGUCGGCCUGCGCGGAAGAUGUAACGGGGCUAAACCAUGCACCGAAGCUGCGGCAGCGACGCUGAUGCGUUGUUGGGUAGGGGAGCGUUCUGUAAGCCUGUGAAGGUGUGCUGUGAGGCAUGCUGGAGGUAUCAGAAGUGCGAAUGCUGACAUAAGUAACGAUAAAGCGGGUGAAAAGCCCGCUCGCCGGAAGACCAAGGGUUCCUGUCCAACGUUAAUCGGGGCAGGGUGAGUCGACCCCUAAGGCGAGGCCGAAAGGCGUAGUCGAUGGGAAACAGGUUAAUAUUCCUGUACUUGGUGUUACUGCGAAGGGGGGACGGAGAAGGCUAUGUUGGCCGGGCGACGGUUGUCCCGGUUUAAGCGUGUAGGCUGGUUUUCCAGGCAAAUCCGGAAAAUCAAGGCUGAGGCGUGAUGACGAGGCACUACGGUGCUGAAGCAACAAAUGCCCUGCUUCCAGGAAAAGCCUCUAAGCAUCAGGUAACAUCAAAUCGUACCCCAAACCGACACAGGUGGUCAGGUAGAGAAUACCAAGGCGCUUGAGAGAACUCGGGUGAAGGAACUAGGCAAAAUGGUGCCGUAACUUCGGGAGAAGGCACGCUGAUAUGUAGGUGAAGCGACUUGCUCGUGGAGCUGAAAUCAGUCGAAGAUACCAGCUGGCUGCAACUGUUUAUUAAAAACACAGCACUGUGCAAACACGAAAGUGGACGUAUACGGUGUGACGCCUGCCCGGUGCCGGAAGGUUAAUUGAUGGGGUUAGCGCAAGCGAAGCUCUUGAUCGAAGCCCCGGUAAACGGCGGCCGUAACUAUAACGGUCCUAAGGUAGCGAAAUUCCUUGUCGGGUAAGUUCCGACCUGCACGAAUGGCGUAAUGAUGGCCAGGCUGUCUCCACCCGAGACUCAGUGAAAUUGAACUCGCUGUGAAGAUGCAGUGUACCCGCGGCAAGACGGAAAGACCCCGUGAACCUUUACUAUAGCUUGACACUGAACAUUGAGCCUUGAUGUGUAGGAUAGGUGGGAGGCUUUGAAGUGUGGACGCCAGUCUGCAUGGAGCCGACCUUGAAAUACCACCCUUUAAUGUUUGAUGUUCUAACGUUGACCCGUAAUCCGGGUUGCGGACAGUGUCUGGUGGGUAGUUUGACUGGGGCGGUCUCCUCCUAAAGAGUAACGGAGGAGCACGAAGGUUGGCUAAUCCUGGUCGGACAUCAGGAGGUUAGUGCAAUGGCAUAAGCCAGCUUGACUGCGAGCGUGACGGCGCGAGCAGGUGCGAAAGCAGGUCAUAGUGAUCCGGUGGUUCUGAAUGGAAGGGCCAUCGCUCAACGGAUAAAAGGUACUCCGGGGAUAACAGGCUGAUACCGCCCAAGAGUUCAUAUCGACGGCGGUGUUUGGCACCUCGAUGUCGGCUCAUCACAUCCUGGGGCUGAAGUAGGUCCCAAGGGUAUGGCUGUUCGCCAUUUAAAGUGGUACGCGAGCUGGGUUUAGAACGUCGUGAGACAGUUCGGUCCCUAUCUGCCGUGGGCGCUGGAGAACUGAGGGGGGCUGCUCCUAGUACGAGAGGACCGGAGUGGACGCAUCACUGGUGUUCGGGUUGUCAUGCCAAUGGCACUGCCCGGUAGCUAAAUGCGGAAGAGAUAAGUGCUGAAAGCAUCUAAGCACGAAACUUGCCCCGAGAUGAGUUCUCCCUGACUCCUUGAGAGUCCUGAAGGAACGUUGAAGACGACGACGUUGAUAGGCCGGGUGUGUAAGCGCAGCGAUGCGUUGAGCUAACCGGUACUAAUGAACCGUGAGGCUUAACCUU